AAAAUUCUGCAGCACACCAAAAAAAUAUACAUUUUUUACUGAUCUGACAAAAAAAAUAGUUAUCAUUUUGAUUCAUUCACAUUGGAUGGCUAUCGUUGUAUUGGCUAUUGUCAUGUUUUAAAUUUGACAAUGUAAGGGAAAAGAGGUCACUGCCCCUGACUAAAUAGUCAGGUCCUGCAUGUUUUAAAAAUUCUUGCAGCCCACCAGUU
This is a long non-coding RNA of Pipistrellus kuhlii (Kuhl's pipistrelle), 209 nucleotides long. RefSeq lists it as uncharacterized. The transcript has 2 exons. The record is from RefSeq and is a predicted model, not a curated record. NCBI's taxonomy places the organism in Eukaryota, Metazoa, Chordata, Mammalia, Chiroptera, Vespertilionidae.